This 581-nucleotide long non-coding RNA is filed under the name Olea europaea (common olive). RNAcentral's name for it is "long non-coding RNA (OEUR_LNC006147)". Lineage: Eukaryota; Viridiplantae; Streptophyta; Magnoliopsida; Lamiales; Oleaceae. The record is from RNAcentral.
UUAUUCUUAAUCCCCUCAAAAACCCUCCUAGGUUAAUACAUUGUCUGUACGUCUCCUGUGAAAAUGGCAGGAAACAACAAGCAGAAGAAAUCUUCAGAUAGUUCUUUCUCUCUUUUCAAAAUCUUCAAAGGCAAAAGUUCGAGGGGUCGAAGGGUAGUUGAAGAUACAAAUUAUUAUGAUUCUAUGAAGGCUUGCAACUUUUGGCAUAGUGAUGAAGAUAGAGGUCGGUAUGUGGCCGAGCCUGGAAUUAACGACUUAGCUAAAGUUUACAUCAUUUCAACUAAAAGGAAGUGGGAAAAAGCAGUGUCCGACUAGUUAAUUAUCGGCAUAUCGUCUGAUUUAUUGUUACUUAAUUCCAUCUGCUGCUACUUCUACAUUCAUUAUGUAUUGAUUGAAAUUGUUAAAUAAUUAUUAGUACUGUUAUAGGAUGUCGUGUUCGACCUAGUUAAGUCGUGAAAUGCUAAUAACAGUUAAUGAAUGAAUAAAGCCUGUGCUUAAGGCUUGUCUCUUUUACUUGAAAGCAGCUGGUUUCCUUCAUUGCACUCAUGGUUUGGUCCUAAUGAAUAUUAUAAAGAUUCCCC